RNAcentral lists this transfer RNA (69 nucleotides) under Marmota monax (woodchuck). RNAcentral's name for it is "tRNA.Undet". The record is from RNAcentral. Lineage: Eukaryota; Metazoa; Chordata; Mammalia; Rodentia; Sciuridae.
GGGGAUAGAGCUCAGUUGGUAGAGGGCUUGCCUCCAUGCACAAGGCCCUGGGUUCAAUCCCCAGCCCCA